CCUACGGGAGGCUGCAGUGAGGAAUAUUGGUCAAUGGGCGAGAGCCUGAACCAGCCAUGCCGCGUGCAGGAAGACGGCCCUACGGGUUGUAAACUGCUUUUGUUUGGGAAGAAAAGGCGCUACGUGUAGUGCACUGACGGUACCAGAUGAAUAAGCAUCGGCUAACUCCGUGCCAGCAGCCGCGGUAAUACGGAGGAUGCGGGAGUUAUCCGGAUUAAAGAGGGUGUAGGCGGAAGUAGGAGGAAGGCGUGAAAUCCCCCAGCUUAACUGGGGAACUGCCAUAGAUACUGGUUUUCUUGAGUACAGUUGAAGUAGGCGGAAUGUGUAAUGUAGCGGUGAAAUGCUUAGAUAUUACACAGAACACCGAUUGCGAAGGCAGCUUGCUAAGCUGUUACUGACGCUGAUGCACGAAAGCGUGGGGAGCGAACAGGAUUAGAUACCCCAGUAGUC
This 450-nucleotide ribosomal RNA is filed under the name uncultured bacterium. RNAcentral describes it as "partial 16S ribosomal RNA". It matches the Rfam family "Bacterial small subunit ribosomal RNA", at positions 338 to 795 of the family's 1533-position model. The record is from RNAcentral.